CAGGCCUAACACAUGCAAGUCGAACGGCAGCACAGGAGAGCUUGCUCUCUGGGUGGCGAGUGGCGGACGGGUGAGGAAUACAUCGGAAUCUACUUUUUCGUGGGGGAUAACGUAGGGAAACUUACGCUAAUACCGCAUACGACCUACGGGUGAAAGCAGGGGACCUUCGGGCCCUGCGCGGAUGAAUGAGCCGAUGUCGGAUUAGCUAGUUGGCGGGGUAAAGGCCCACCAAGGCGACGAUCCGUAGCUGGUCUGAGAGGAUGAUCAGCCACACUGGAACUGAGACACGGUCCAGACUCCUACGGGAGGCAGCAGUGGGGAAUAUUGGACAAUGGGCGCAAGCCUGAUCCAGCCAUACCGCGUGGGUGAAGAAGGCCUUCGGGUUGUAAAGCCCUUUUGUUGGGAAAGAAAAGCAGCAGGUUAAUACCCCGCUGUUCUGACGGUACCCAAAGAAUAAGCACCGGCUAACUUCGUGCCAGCAGCCGCGGUAAUACGAAGGGUGCAAGCGUUACUCGGAAUUACUGGGCGUAAAGCGUGCGUAGGUGGUCGUUUAAGUCCGUUGUGAAAGCCCUGGGCUCAACCUGGGAACUGCAGUGGAUACUGGGCGACUAGAGUGUGGUAGAGG
This 625-nucleotide ribosomal RNA is filed under the name uncultured bacterium. RNAcentral describes it as "bacterial SSU rRNA". It matches the Rfam family "Bacterial small subunit ribosomal RNA", at positions 43 to 657 of the family's 1533-position model. The record is from RNAcentral.